UAGGGAAUAUUGGUCAAUGGACGCAAGUCUGAACCAGCCAUGCCGCGUGCAGGAUGACGGCCCUAUGGGUUGUAAACUGCUUUUGUACGGGAAGAAUAAGCUCUACGUGUAGAGUGAUGACGGUACCGUAAGAAUAAGGAUCGGCUAACUCCGUGCCAGCAGCCGCGGUAAUACGGAGGAUCCAAGCGUUGUCCGGAUUUAUUGGGUUUAAAGGGUGCGUAGGCGGCCUUUUAAGUCAGUGGUGAAAGUUUGCGGCUUAACCGUAAAAUUGCCAUUGAAACUGAAAGGCUUGAGUAUAGUUGAGGUGGGCGGAAUGUGUCAUGUAGCGGUGAAAUGCUUAGAUAUGAUACAGAACACCGAUUGCGAAGGCAGCUCACUAAACUAUAACUGACGCUGAGGCACGAAAGCGUGGGGAUCAAACAGGAUUAGAUACCCCCGUAGUCC
Molecule: ribosomal RNA, 444 nt
Filed under: uncultured bacterium
Lineage: Bacteria
Description: bacterial SSU rRNA
Rfam family: Bacterial small subunit ribosomal RNA
Source: RNAcentral